Molecule: long non-coding RNA, 531 nt
Organism: Musca domestica (house fly)
Lineage: Eukaryota; Metazoa; Arthropoda; Insecta; Diptera; Muscidae
Exons: 2
Source: RefSeq, a predicted model, not a curated record
GCCACUAAUUACUUCCAGAAUAGAUAAAUUUGCAUUCUCAUCAACAAUCAGCUGAUAACUAAUAAUGGCCUAGGUUAAUGUAAUAUUCAGUAUAUAAGCUAAGCAGAUUAUUGCUAAAAUUCAAAACACGAGUUAACCUCAACAUGAAAUUUCUAGCCAUCUUUUUGUUCUUCGCUCUGGUUGCCCUCUCUUUGGGAAAGCCUCAGCCUGCUGCUGAAAAUCCUCAACCUAAAGCAGCCGAAUCGAAUGAUUCGAAUCCCUCAAAUCCACCAGCUGAUAGCGAGAGUCCAGUACGUUUUGGAGCCGAACCUUAUCGUACUGCCGAUGGUACUUGGGGUAUUAAGUUUACCUUUUAAAAUUGAAUCGGAAUGAAAAUGGGGAUAUUGAAUUGAUGACAAAUGUGGAUAUAUAAAUAUAUAUAUAUUUGAGUGGGAAAUGACGUACAUAUAUUAUAUAUUAAGGAAAUGUGUAAAUAAAUGUAAACAGCGUAUAACAUAAUUUAAAAAAAAAUAAAUAUAGGAUCCUAUUUUA